AUGUGACAUUUAAACUGCACUCACAAACUCAUAAAACUGAGGAUGUGAGUUUUCUGAGAGGAGACAUACUUAUUCAUGUACAUAAAAACUAAAAAAUAUGCAUU
Molecule: long non-coding RNA, 104 nt
Organism: Salarias fasciatus (jewelled blenny)
Lineage: Eukaryota; Metazoa; Chordata; Actinopteri; Blenniiformes; Blenniidae
Exons: 3
Source: RefSeq, a predicted model, not a curated record